Molecule: unclassified non-coding RNA, 330 nt
Filed under: uncultured bacterium
Lineage: Bacteria
Description: contains 16S-23S intergenic spacer region
Source: RNAcentral
CCGGAGAAGUUAGCUUCUUCCGACUGAGACAGCAAAAAAGUCUCAUUUGCUAUCCGUAAGACUGAAAGCCCAAUAGCAUGCAAUGACAAACGUCAUCAUCUGCACCUUCCCCGAAGAUGUUAGCGUCUUCCAGCCGAGACUGCGAAAAGGUCUCAUUUGCUAACCGUAAGACUCAAAGCCUGUUAGCAUGCAGUGACUAACGACGCCAUCUGCACCAUCCCCGGAGAUGUCAGCAUCUUUCAACCGAGACUUCGAAAAAGUCUUAUUUGCUAUCCGUAAGACUCAAAGCUUAAUAGCAUGCAGUGACUAACGUCAUCAUCUUCACCUUCC